UCCUCUUCCAAUUGGCUACUGCGUUCGCCAGUCCGAACGACCGCUCGAAAACCAUCAAUGGAGGUGGCCACCACAGCUUCCAGCUUCGCGCUCCACACUUGCAUGUUAGCAACGCCAACCAUUCGCCGAGCCCGAAACACUACCCGCCCCCAUCCGACGUCGUCUCGUUCCCUUCCCAGAGCUUCCCUCUCCACCAGCUUCCUCUCUCCCUUCGCCGGCAACAGCCUCUCCUCCGAUUUCUCCGGCCACAAGCUCCGUCCUUCCUCCCUCAAUCCGGCGUCGUUUCGUGGCUCCAAAGCCAAACGCGGCGUCGUCACCAUGGUUAUUCCAUUUCAAAGAGGAAGUGCAUGGGAGCAGCCGCCUCCGGACCUGGCAUCAUAUCUGUACAAAAAUCGAAUAGUGUACUUGGGCAUGUCACUUGUUCCUUCGGUGACGGAGUUGAUACUUGCCGAGUUUCUCUACCUGCAGUACGAAGACGACACGAAGCCCAUUUACUUGUACAUAAAUUCCACUGGAACAACCAAGGGCGGUGAGAAGUUGGGUUAUGAAACAGAGGCUUUUGCAAUAUAUGAUGUCAUGAGGUAUGUCAAGCCUCCUAUAUUUACUCUUUGUGUCGGUAAUGCUUGGGGAGAAGCUGCCUUACUUUUAGCUGCUGGUGCAAAGGGAAACCGUUCUGCUUUACCCUCAUCAACAAUCAUGAUGAAGCAGCCGAUUGCAAGGUUUCAAGGCCAAGCAACAGAUAUUGAACUCACAAGAAGGGAAGUGAGGAAUGUUAAAGAUGAGUUGGUUAAGCUCUUCGCAAAGCAUAUUGGAAAGUCAACUGAGCAAAUUGAAGCAGACAUUAGGCGUCCAAAAUAUUUUAGUCCAAGUGAGGCAGUUGAAUAUGGCAUCAUUGACAAGGUACUGUACAAUGAAAGGAGUACUGAAGACAGGGGAGUUGUCUCAGACCUUAAAAAAGCACAACUUAUUCCAUAGGAAGACUUGGAAUUCUUAUCAGAAGGAAUAUUCAGCACAAAUUGUCUAUGUCCAUGCAGCAAAUGCUAAAUACUUUAAUCAAAGACUAGUUGAUGUCAAUGCAUUCUGUUGAUGCAAAUUGAAGUUUAUGCGGUGAUUGUCUUGGAGAAUGCUCAGGCAAGAUUCGCACCAUGCACGGGAAAAUCUGAGCAUCCAGCUUCCAAGUGGUAACACAUUUUUCAGUGCAGCAAAGGAAUGCAUAAUACAUAGCUUAAAUUGUAUCGAGCACAAAGAACCAUGUGUAGAACCAGUUGAAAAAAAAUGAGGCAAGUGUUUUGCCUUUUAUGUUUCAUGUACGCUUGGUGUCGGUGUAGUUAAAGAUGUUGGUCGAUUUCUGAUUGAAUGAAAACCAAACUCGAUUGAAGGUA
Molecule: RNA transcript, 1382 nt
Organism: Malus domestica (apple)
Lineage: Eukaryota; Viridiplantae; Streptophyta; Magnoliopsida; Rosales; Rosaceae
Gene name: ATP-dependent Clp protease proteolytic subunit-related protein 4, chloroplastic-like
Source: RefSeq, a predicted model, not a curated record